CGGAUGCAACUCGAUUAUCUCUAAAGACGCGACGCACGAAAGCCUUCAGCAGCGUUUCACAACCGUGACAUGUUGACACUUUAUUUCCCCACAUUUCCUGAGAGCUAUAGCUUUGCAGCUAUCUUCCUCGUUUUGACUUCCUCUUUGCAGCGUGAGGCUCGAUGGUCAAAGGAAUUGUCUUGCGCACGGAGUCAUCACUGCGAACUCCUGCGAGGGGAAGAGGAGCGUCGCAGUCUCACCCCGGCGCUGCUGCAGCGUCGAGAGAUCCCACCACGCAGGUAACGGAUUGCCGUCUCCUUUUCCAACGUGAAAAGUAAAAGACUUGUUUUGUGUGUUUUUCUGAGUGUCUGCUGAUGUUGGCUUGGAGCGUCCUGUUCGUCUUAUUUCCACAGAGCCAUCUUUGAUGUGGCGGGAUCAGGCCCCCCACUUAGUGUAUUUGACAAGCUGAGUUGGACACUCUGUAUCUCUGAGUGUCAGUUUGUCAAAUACCCCAAGUGAGGUGUCACUUGUCUACAAACAGUGACCCGUCCUCGGCCGACUGCACGGACUGACCAGCCGGCUCCCCGCCGCGCUCCGCCCCGCUGACCGGCUCCGGGUUUGUGUGUCGUCAUGGUGUAAUCUGUCAUUUGUUUAUUGGAUCCAACGAAAGAACAGAAACAUUAAUUUAUCCUGUGACAAUCCAAAUGAGUGUAAUGAAUGAUGCAAUAAAGGUUACACAGAGAUUUUUAACCAAAUUGAAGUGUGCCAGUGAAGGAAUGUUCUUUUUCAGUGUUUUUAUUCGUAGGUCUGUAGUCUCUUCACUGCCCAACUCAGCCAAAACAUUUAGGAGAGGUAAGGCUGCUCUGAAAUUCGACCCUCUGUCGUGGUGUGAUUUUCUUUUUGCAGUUUGAAGAGGUUAAUGCGAUACUUUGAUCCAAACUGUUGAAAUCCACCUUCAAUGUGACGUCCGAGUUUACUCAUUUGUUCCAGGCGACUAAAACAUGCACGCUAAUGAGCAUUUUCAAUGGGAUGUGUAUCCAAUUGCAUUUUCUUGUUAUGUAGCAAAUUAAUGCUCUAGACAAAAUGAUCGGUAUCUAAAAGACCAAAUGCAGGACAAGCCUUUUGUAAGACGGAGCAAAGACGGAGCAAAACAUGUAUUCAGUGUCCUCUCCCAUUCAACAUGUGGGAGCCAGUCUUUGCAACUUCAGCAUCAAGAACUGAAGCCUUGUUUUGGAAACUUGAGGUAAAUAAUAAAUACACAAAUGCCCCAAAAUGUUCUCUGAAUCUUUUACAGACUCAUUGUGUGAUAAUAACAUCUGUAAAAAUGUGUAUGACAGUGUAUGAUGUUUGUAGGCAGAUGGGUGAUCUAUUUAUUGUUCUUCUUAUCCUCCAUUUGAUGGCGCUUAUCGGUCCGUCCCCUGUUUCCUGUUCCUGUGGCUGCCCAAGAACGUUGCCAGCGUGUGCGUGCGUGUGUGUGUGUGUGUGUGUGUGUGUGUGUGUGUGUGUGAACAAAUACGUGUACUUGUGUGAUCUUUUAAAUGUCUUAACCUGGUAACCGUUCACCUAAUCAUUGUGGUUGAGAAUCGGCAGAAAAGCAGACUUGCACACUGCCGAAAAGGCGGCGCACAUCCUGCUAUUUUGACACAGUGCAUUUGAAACACUACGCAUUGGGAAAUGGGUGAUGGGGUGCACAGUAAGUGCAUGUCUACUGCUGUGCAUCAUCACACGGGGGGGCUGCCAACAUGUGGUGUAAAUCUUGAGCCCUGCAGAGGAAAGGUUCCAUCCCAACAUCUACCAACACACGGUUGCCAUAAACAACAAGAGGAGUUGUGUUUCAUCUGCACGGCAUUGUGUGCUGCGUGUGAGGAUUUUGUUUUUAAUGAGCAUCCAUUUCCAGUUUCACGGUUAAACUGCUUUCUUACAAUCAAAACACUUUCAAAAAUGAAAUAAAACACUCACGUUGAGGAGAUCUGUCGGACGCUGUCGCGUUGCGUCGAUUGGUGGCUCGACUGUUGGCAUCUCACAUGGUCCAAAUGUCAAGUUGUCGUAUACAUCGCAAGCGGGUUUUGUCCGACCUCUUGAGUGCGGCAGGAAAUGUUCUUAAAUUAACAAGCUAAUAACUAGUCUGUAAGAUUAUCCUUUAUAUUUGUAUAGGCCUAACAUUCAACAUCAGCAAUAGUGUCACCCUCAUCAAACUGUUUACAACCCCCCCACAAAAACACAUUUCAAACAUUAACGGCAUCAAGCUUUUUCUAUAAUUCUUAAAUUCCUGUCUUCCAUCUGUUGCUGCACCUCCACCAGUAAGUGGUGGUAGAGCUCCAUUCUUCGGUUCAAACGUUAGACCAGCCUCACUUUGAAGAAGCUGAUGUUGAGCCUCACAGCACACAAAGAAUCAGUUCUUUGACGUAUUAAUUCUUUGCUGGAUAGAGAAGCUCGCGCCAACAACACAAGUUACAACAAUGUUAAUUCACUAUUAGAAUGAAGUGCGUUGGCAAUAUAUUAAAGAUAUCUACAGGUAUAUUUCAUUCUGAACCACAAUUUAUGGUUUAAUUUGUAUUUGUAAUUUUGAUGUUAUGCAGUAAAUUACUAUUGUGCAAUUUCAAUAUUAAGGUAUCACACUUUACUUGAUCUGCAUUUCAUAUGAGCAAUACUGUGAACUCAAUCGUUCAGUCAGAUCUUAGUUUUUGUUAGUUUUACAGUUUACUUAUUUAUCAUCCCUUUACUAUUUUCACAUCCUAUUCACGGUCAUUGUUUUAUACUGAGGCUAUGGCUGCUUCCCCCUUUGCUUUAGUAAUACUGAUUUAACUAAUAUGGCCUGCUAGGCUCCAAUUAUCGUUCAGCCCUUUGGAAUUUCUGAGAAAGUGCUUUUGAUUUAAUAAACUUUUUUGUGACUCACUCUCACUAAAAAACACGUCUACAUAAGAGCUCCUAAUAAGUGGUGCAAAGCAUUUGACAUUCAGUGUUAUAAUUAAAACAAUAAAGCAACAGCAACACUUUAGGUUAUUGAUGUUACCUGAUAUCCCUUAAAGACGUUAUGCAGAGGGGAACAUCCCUAAGUUCCCUGAAUGCCGUGCUCAAUACAAUUCAUACUAACCGGAUGUUGUUUGUUUGCAGAGAAAGCAAAUACCAUCCACAGCCAACAUAUGGGGUCAAUUAGGGGAAACAUUUCACCAAAGAUUUGGGUCAUUCACUUGGUGCCAGGUGUAAUACAGCUGAGAUGGAAAGGAUCCUCUGAACAAGCAGAACUUCUCUAUAAAAGCAGGGUCCAUAUUCAACUGUAAUUCUGAAAGGAACGUUCAGUCCUGCUGUCUUCACCCCAAUAUUCCUCCACCUGAAAUGGAAUAUAGCACCUAUUACAAGGCUCUCUCUAAUAGGUCCAACACUCUGAAUCAGGUGGCCAGUAAGGAGGUGCUUGUUUCCAGUAUUGUCCUCGAGGCUUUAGGAGAUUGACAACCACGUUGUUUGUCACUAUCGACGUUAAGCAGGAAGCGAACACGUGGACGGUUUCUUUGCAACCAUUCCAGGAAGCUGCUUCAAGUGCCUGAAGUCCCAUCGAAAGGAUGUCGCUGUAUUCACGUCGCUCCAGAGGACUUUGUCCAGUCUCACUUUCUCGAAGUCAACCUCCUUCAAUCCUGUGGUGAUACACACACCCUUGUGUAGCCUCUCUUCAGGAAGGCUGCAGAUUGCUCAUCACCAGGGGAGGUUAGCGGACAGUGGAUGCUACUGUAAAAAGUAAGAGCUGUGUUGUUCUCCUCUAUGAUCUGACACAAGGUGAUGCCGACUGCAUUGUUCUAACAGUUUGUGUUGCAGAUGCUGGUUUGUGCGAGGAACCCAAUUAACCGAGUCUUGUCUGUGUGAUCCACAGUCACAAAGGGUCUGAAGAGGAGGCCGUGGAUCCUGGAUGGAGUCGAAUCCAUUUCAAUCAAUGUCACCAAUUAAUAAUAAGACAAUUAGCAAGUGAUAUAAUACCAAAUUCCUCUCUCC
Long non-coding RNA from Gasterosteus aculeatus aculeatus (three-spined stickleback), 3963 nucleotides. The record is from Ensembl. Lineage: Eukaryota; Metazoa; Chordata; Actinopteri; Perciformes; Gasterosteidae.